This 2897-nucleotide long non-coding RNA is filed under the name Homo sapiens (human). Its description in RNAcentral is "HSALNT0023369". Lineage: Eukaryota; Metazoa; Chordata; Mammalia; Primates; Hominidae. The record is from RNAcentral.
CCAUGAGCUUUUUUUGUUGUCCCAUGAACCCCUGUCGCAGUUUGAUGAAGCCUAUGGAUUCUGUCUUAGAAAGACUUUUUUUUUUUGAGAUGGAGUCUCACUCUGUCACCCAGGCUGGAGUGCAGUGGUGUGAUCUCUGCUCAUUGCAACCUCUGCCUCCUGGGUUCAAGCAAUUCUCCUGCCUUGGCCUCCUUAGUAGUUGGGACUACAGGGACCAGCCACCACACCUGGCUAAUUUUUUUUUUUUAUUUUUAGUAGAGACAGGGUUUCACCAUGUUGGUCAGGCUGGUCUUGAACUCCUCACCUCAAGUGAUCCACCCACCUCAGCUUCCCAAAGUGCUGGGAUUACAGGCAUGAGCCACCAUGCCAGGCCAAAAAGUUUUUAAAUGCACAAAAAUGUUAAAAAAUUAUUAAUACAAAGGAAAUCAAUUAUACUUCUUUCUCAAUGUUUUCAUGAUUGCCCUGGAGUUUGUAAUAUACAUUUACAACCUAAGUCUACUUUUAAUAACACUAUCCUGCUUCAUGAUCAGGAGUGGUAGCUCAUGCCUGUAAUAAAUCUCAGCACUUUGGGAGGCCAAGGCCAGCAAUGGCUUGAGCCCAGGAGUUUGAGAUCAGGGCAACAUAGUGGGACCCCGUCUCUACAAAAAAUACGAAAAAAUAGCCGGGCAUGGUGUCAUGCAACUGUAGUCCCAGCUACUUGGGAAGCUGAGGUGGGAGGAUUCCUUGAGCCUGGGAAGUUGAAGCUGCAGUGAGCUGAGACUGUGCCACUGCACUCCAGCCUGGGCAACAGAGCGAGACCCUGCCUCAAAAAAAAAAAAAAAAAGAGAAGGAGCCAAACGCUGAUGCCCCCUAGGCCCAGUGACAGUGCCAGCACAAGGCCUAUACAGGCACUUGGCAAAUGCGCUGUGUUCUUAUUGUUGCAAAUGGCCUGUUAGCUUCCCAGGUCACAACGACCCCAAAUAACUCCCACACCUGCACCAUGCACCCAGUAGGCACUCAAUAAACAUUGACGUCAGGAAUGGUCCGUGUGGGUCUGGUUCUGGUUCUCGUUUGUCUCUUCAGAUUGUGUGUUCUUGCCUUUUGGCACGUCUUGUCAUUUUGUGUUGAAGCUGGAGAUAAAGUAUCAGGUAAUCAGAACUCUGGUAUGGCUGGGGGUGGUGGCUCAUGCCUGUAAUCCCAACACUUUGGGAGACUAAGGUAGGAGGACUGCUUGAGGCCAGGAGUUCAAGAUCAGCCUGGGCAGCAUAUCAAGACCCCGUCUCUAAAAGAAAAAAAAAAUUAAAAAAAAAAAAAACUUAGCUGGGCAUGUUCGUGUGUGCCUGUAAUCCCAGCACGUUGGGAGGCCAAGGUGAGAGAAUCGCUUGAGCCCAGGAGUUUGAGUCUGCAGUGAUCUAUGACUGUGCCACUGCACUCCAGCCUGGGCCACAGAGUGAGACCCUGUUUAAAAAAAAAAAAUCGGGAACAUAGGCCGUUAGCGUGAGCAUUUACAUCAUCUGGCUCGAAACUGGGCUCUUUUUCAUGUUUAUUAUAGCCGAAGUUUUGUUUACCUAGGGUCCUUGUUCUCAUCUCCCCUCCUGACUUUAAACUUCCCUAAGAGCUCCUUCACACACUGUCCGGUGUAUCAUAGUGAGGACUAAGCACUGACCUUUUAUCUUACCCAAAUAAGCUCUCACCUUUUAUCUUACCCAAAUUCCCACCUACGGGGUCUAGGGAGUCAACCCCUACAAACCAUAAAUUCUCAUCAGAUGGGUUUUAUUUGACCCUAUAUAUUGUGACUGACUUUUCAAUCUGACUCUGGCAUAAAAUUUUGAGACAAGGAAAAAAUAUUCAACCCCAAAAUAUAUAUUCCUUGCCAUGCCUUGAAAUUGCCCUGAAAAAUCUCUUGUGGGAAAAAUCCACAUUCUAUAGAGAAUCCCCUUUCCCCUUUGUUUUCCUUCCUUUCUUUCCAGAUCCAGGAGAUAAUCAACUAAGAGCCAGGCACCCUUUUAAGUCCCAUAAGAAACAAUUUACAACCUGCUGUCUCUGAAGUUGGCUAUCUGAGCACUUCCUCUGCACAAUAAAACUUGGUCUCCACAAUCCUUUAUUUUUAACCUGAACAUUUCCUUUCUAUCGAUCCCAGGUCUUUAGACAAGCUCAACCAAUUAUCUGCCAGAAAAUGUUUACAUUUACUUAUAGCCCGGAAGCACUUGCUUUGAGUUGUCCUGCCUUUCUGAACCAAACCAAUAUAUUUCUUAAUAUUUGAUUAAUGUCUCAUGCCUUCCUAAAAUAUAUAAAACCAAGCUGUACCUCAACCACCUUGGGCACAUGUUCUCAGGACCUCCUGAGGGCUGUGUCAUGGGCCAUGGUCACUCAUAUUUGGCUCAGAAUAAAUCUCUUAAAAUAUUUUAUGGAGUUUGACUCGCUUGAUCAACAGUAGCUCUUUCUGUCAGACUGUACUCACACUGGAGCCUUAUGGCGUGGUGGCCGGCCUGGGGUGGAGGAAGCAUUCCAUAGUGUUAUGAUGAAAUCUCAGCCUCUUAUUUGGCCUGUGCCCCUGGACUGUGACCUUCACAGGUGUUUCCUAGCUGCUUUUGUCUCCUUAAGGCUAGAGGUGGCUGAAGUGGAGGGAAUACCUUUCUCGAAAGGAAAAUAAAUCUGAAAGGAAAAUAAAUCUUGGUGCCCCAGAAUCACUAAGCUAAAGAGAAAAGUCAAGCUGGGAACUGCUUAGGGCAAACCUACCUCUCAUUCUAUUCAAAGUCACCCCUCUGCUCCCUGAGAUAAAUGCAUAUCUGAUGGCCUCAUUUGGAGAGGCUAAUCAGAAACUCAAAAGAAUGCAACCAUUUGUCUCUUAUCUACCUAUGACCUAGAAGCGCCCUCCCUGCUUCAAAUUGUCCUGCCUUUGCCUCGAGUUGUCCCAC